This 25-nucleotide unclassified non-coding RNA is filed under the name Mus musculus (house mouse). Its description in RNAcentral is "oocyte_clustered_small_RNA11035". Lineage: Eukaryota; Metazoa; Chordata; Mammalia; Rodentia; Muridae. The record is from RNAcentral.
UGCCAGUUUCAGAUUGCUCACUUGG